CACAGCAGCCGGUGAAACAGAGCAUGCAGCAGGUGAAGGAGCAACAGACACAACUCGCCCUGAUUCUGCACUACAGCCUGCAGACACUUUCUCCCCCACAACAAGUUCUGAUGUCCAUGAGUCCAUCAGGGAAGAACCGAUUGAUCCUGCUGACUGGCCAACCCUGUCUGGCCAAAGUUACUAAAAAUUAAAAUAUUCUGAGACCAUUA
This is a long non-coding RNA of Pungitius pungitius (ninespine stickleback), 209 nucleotides long. RefSeq lists it as uncharacterized. The transcript is spliced from 2 exons. The record is from RefSeq and is a predicted model, not a curated record. NCBI's taxonomy places the organism in Eukaryota, Metazoa, Chordata, Actinopteri, Perciformes, Gasterosteidae.